This 255-nucleotide ribosomal RNA is filed under the name uncultured Gardnerella sp. RNAcentral describes it as "partial 16S ribosomal RNA". It matches the Rfam family "Bacterial small subunit ribosomal RNA", at positions 99 to 355 of the family's 1533-position model. Lineage: Bacteria; Bacillati; Actinomycetota; Actinomycetes; Bifidobacteriales; Bifidobacteriaceae. The record is from RNAcentral.
CGAACGGGUGAGUAAUGCGUGACCAACCUGCCCCAUGCUCCAGAAUAGCUCUUGGAAACGGGUGGUAAUGCUGGAUGCUCCAACUUGACGCAUGUCUUGUUGGGAAAGUGUUUAGUGGCAUGGGAUGGGGUCGCGUCCUAUCAGCUUGUAGGCGGGGUAAUGGCCCACCUAGGCUUCGACGGGUAGCCGGCCUGAGAGGGCGGACGGCACAUUGGGACUGAGAUACGGCCCAGACUCCUACGGGAGGCAGCAGCU